CAGAGUCCAUGCCCUUCGGGGUAGAUCUCCCACCCGUGUAUUUAUACCUUUGUUGCUUUGGCAGGCCUGCCUCGGCCACCGGCUCCGGCUGGUGAGCGCCUGCCAGAGGACCCCAAACUCUGUAUUUAAUGUCGUCUGAGUACUAUAUAAUAGUUA
This 156-nucleotide unclassified non-coding RNA is filed under the name uncultured Helotiales. Lineage: Eukaryota; Fungi; Ascomycota; Leotiomycetes; Helotiales. The record is from RNAcentral.